Molecule: ribosomal RNA, 403 nt
Filed under: uncultured bacterium
Lineage: Bacteria
Description: partial 16S ribosomal RNA
Rfam family: Bacterial small subunit ribosomal RNA
Source: RNAcentral
AUUGAACGCUGGCGGCAGGCCUAACACAUGCAAGUCGAGCGAGCGGCGGACGGGCGAGUAAUGUAUGGGGACUGCCCGAUAGAGGGGGAUAACCACCGGCAACGGUGGCUAAUACCGUAUACCAUCGGUUAACCCAUAUGGGACUAGCUAGUAAGUGGGGUAAAGGCUCACCUAGGCGACGAUCUCUAGUUGGUCUGAGAGGAUGAUCAGCCACACUGAGACUGAGACACAACCCAGACUCCAACGGGGGCAGAAAUGGGGAAUAUUGCACAAUGGGCGCAAACCUAAUGCAGCCAUGCCGAGUGUAUAAAGAAGGCCUUAGGGUUGUAGAGUACUUUCAGCGAGGAGGCGUUACCCACAGAAAAAGGACCGGCUAACAACGUGCCAGCAGCCGCGGUAAUAC